RNAcentral lists this ribosomal RNA (497 nucleotides) under uncultured bacterium. RNAcentral describes it as "partial 16S ribosomal RNA". It matches the Rfam family "Bacterial small subunit ribosomal RNA", at positions 28 to 507 of the family's 1533-position model. The record is from RNAcentral.
GAUGAACGCUGGCGGCGUGCCUAAUACAUGCAAGUCGAGCGAACGGACGAGAAGCUUGCUUCUCUGAUGUUAGCGGCGAACGGGUGAGUAACACGUGGAUAACCUACCUAUAAGACUGGGAUAACUUCGGGAAACCGUAGCUAAUACCGGAUAAUAUUUUGAACCGCAUGGUUCAAAAGUGAAAGACGGUCUUGCUGUCACUUAUAGAUGGAUCCGCGCUGCAUUAGCUAGUUGGUAAGGUAACGGCUUACCAAGGCAACGAUGCAUAGCCGACCUGAGAGGGUGAUCGGCCACACUGGAACUGAGACACGGUCCAGACUCCUAAGGGAGGCAGCAGUAGGGAAUCUUCCGCAAUGGGCGAAAGCCUGACGGAGCAAAGCCGCGUGAGUGAAGAAGGUCUUCGGAUCGUAAAAAUCUGUUAUUAGGGAAGAACAUAUGUGUAAGUAACUGUGCACAUCUUGACGGUACCUAAUCAGAAAGCCACGGCUAACUACGUG